AUACGGAGGGGGCUAGCGUUGUUCGGAAUUACUGGGCGUAAAGCGCGCGUAGGCGGUUUGCCAAGUCAGGCGUGAAAGCCCCGGGCUCAACCCGGGAAUUGCGCUUGAUACUGGCAGGCUAGAGGCCGGGAGAGGGGAGUGGAAUUCCCAGUGUAGAGGUGAAAUUCGUAGAUAUUGGGAAGAACACCGGUGGCGAAGGCGGCUACCUGGACCGGUACUGACGCUGAGGUGCGAAAGCGUGGGGAGCAAACAGGAUUAGAAACCCGAGUAGUCC
Molecule: ribosomal RNA, 274 nt
Filed under: uncultured bacterium
Lineage: Bacteria
Description: partial 16S ribosomal RNA
Rfam family: Bacterial small subunit ribosomal RNA
Source: RNAcentral